Molecule: long non-coding RNA, 1186 nt
Filed under: Prunus persica (peach)
Lineage: Eukaryota; Viridiplantae; Streptophyta; Magnoliopsida; Rosales; Rosaceae
Description: long non-coding RNA (PPER_LNC002998)
Source: RNAcentral
UUUCUACUCUCAACUUGUAGAAAUCAUUUUAUUCUCAAUCCCAUUAUAAUUUAUAAGCCAAUCAGCUAAAACUCCUAUUAUUUUUUCUAUAAUUUUCAAUUGAUAAUAAUAAGAAUAAUAAAAUCAACUAGGCCUCCUCCAACACCUACACCGAUUACAUGAAAUUCUACCCUAAACAAAAUGCUCCACAACCUCAAUCCCACACAUUCAUCCCCUCCCACCUAUCGCACUCGUAGCUUGUUGCCGUCAUGGAAGUAUAUGUGGGAUGGAUUAUUAAUUACGUUGUGAACCAGUCAGGUUGGUGAUCAUUUGAUUGGAAAUAGAAGGGUUUUUUUUUUCUUUCUUUUUUUGGCUACAAUUGGCAUAAUUGAGUUCGUACUUGGGAUUCCUUAAAUCUAUUUAUGAAGAAGAAUAUAACUAACGACGUUAGCUUUUGUCUGUUUGGCAAAAAUAUAUUUUUAUUUUAAAUUCACUACAAUAUAUGGCGUGACAGUUAUUUUCACCAUUGGAUAGUAUUAUAUUUGAUGUGGCAGCUUUAUAUUAAAAGUCAAGCAGAUCCUAGCAGAUAAAUUCCAAGCAGAUGAUUCAGAUCCAUUAAGGUGUUGUGUGAUAGAGUGUAUUAGGUUGUACAAGAGGUAUUUUUGGUAGUUAAAUAGGGUGUACUUAGUUAAUUGGAAGGAUCAAAGACAUCGUCAACUUGUCCAAGAGUGUUGCCAUUUGGAACCGUAUUAGUAUAGGAAGGAUUCAUAUCAGCUUGAGCUAUUGCAAGCACAAGCAUGUUCAUCAAAACCACAGCCCUCAACACACUAGCAUCUAUGGUUCAACUGUUUUUUUUAUUUAUUGAACUCUGUUUGAUUGCCGGAGUUUGUUGGUGAAGGAAGUGGAAGCUAUAAAGCCACAAUUUAUAGGGAGACCCUUUGGCCAUCUAUGGUUCUAAGCAUGAUUGUAGCUAAUUACUUGAUCUGUAAUGGAGCACAAAUUGAAUGUGUCUCUCUUUUGAUUUCAUGGCGAUGAUCAGUGAAGACCACCCAAAGUUCACUCCAAAAUAUUUCUCUGGUGGAUGUAAUUUAGGCGGUUUGGCAUAUAUUUGUUUUCCUAUUGUAAGGAAAUGACAGAAUUCUAUAAUUCAAAAAAAAUAGAAAACAUGGAGUAUAGCCGUACGGUAAACAAAGAUUUUAAAAACCGA